AUUACUUUGGCAGAUUAGUGCUUUAAAUUUAGAAUUUAAAUAUGUGUUUAACACAAGUAAUA
RNAcentral lists this transfer RNA (62 nucleotides) under Popillia japonica (Japanese beetle). RNAcentral describes it as "tRNA-Leu". Lineage: Eukaryota; Metazoa; Arthropoda; Insecta; Coleoptera; Scarabaeidae. The record is from RNAcentral.